This 251-nucleotide ribosomal RNA is filed under the name uncultured bacterium. RNAcentral's name for it is "partial 16S ribosomal RNA". It matches the Rfam family "Bacterial small subunit ribosomal RNA", at positions 57 to 305 of the family's 1533-position model. The record is from RNAcentral.
GCAAGUCGAGCGAGAAUGUUGGUGCUUGCACUGACAGGACAGCGGCGCACGGGUGAGUAAUGCGUACACAAUCUACCAUAUACAGGAGGAUAGCCCCGGGAAACUGGGUUUAAUACGCCAUGGCCCCUAAAGCAGGCAUCUGUUUAAGGGUAAAGCCCCGGCGGUAUAUGAUGAGUGGGCGUACUAUUAGUUAGUUGGUGAGGUAACGGCCCACCAAGACGAUGAUAGGUAGGGGGCGUGAGAGCGUGAUC